Molecule: transfer RNA, 74 nt
Filed under: Waddliaceae bacterium
Lineage: Bacteria; Pseudomonadati; Chlamydiota; Chlamydiia; Parachlamydiales; Waddliaceae
Also listed under: 3 other names
Description: tRNA-Ile
Rfam family: tRNA
About the family: Transfer RNA (tRNA) molecules are approximately 80 nucleotides in length. Their secondary structure includes four short double-helical elements and three loops (D, anti-codon, and T loops). Further hydrogen bonds mediate the characteristic L-shaped molecular structure. tRNAs have two regions of fundamental functional importance: the anti-codon, which is responsible for specific mRNA codon recognition, and the 3' end, to which the tRNAs corresponding amino acid is attached (by aminoacyl-tRNA synthetases). tRNAs cope with the degeneracy of the genetic code in two manners: having more than one tRNA (with a specific anti-codon) for a particular amino acid; and 'wobble' base-pairing, i.e. permitting non-standard base-pairing at the 3rd anti-codon position.
Source: RNAcentral
GCGGUUAUAGCUCAGUUGGUUAGAGCGCUACACUGAUAAUGUAGAGGUCCCAAGUUCAAGUCUUGGUAACCGCA